UACGAAGGGGGCUAGCGCUGCUCGGAAUCACUGGGCGUAAAGGGUGCGUAGGCGGGUCUUUAAGUCAGGGGUGAAAUCCUGGAGCUCAACUCCAGAACUGCCUUUGAUACUGAAGAUCUUGAGUUCGGGAGAGGUGAGUGGAACUGCGAGUGUAGAGGUGAAAUUCGUAGAUAUUCGCAAGAACAUCCAGUGGCGAAGGCGGCUCACUGGCCCGAUACUGACGCUGAGGUGCGAAAGCGUGGGGAGCAAACAGGG
RNAcentral lists this ribosomal RNA (255 nucleotides) under uncultured bacterium. Its description in RNAcentral is "partial 16S ribosomal RNA". It matches the Rfam family "Bacterial small subunit ribosomal RNA", at positions 524 to 777 of the family's 1533-position model. The record is from RNAcentral.